This 1096-nucleotide unclassified non-coding RNA is filed under the name Hevea brasiliensis (rubber tree). Lineage: Eukaryota; Viridiplantae; Streptophyta; Magnoliopsida; Malpighiales; Euphorbiaceae. The record is from RNAcentral.
AUAGCCUAUAUGAACUACAAAAAAAAAGAAUUAGAGUUUCAUAGCAAUUCAUCAUAAUGAAUACUUCAUCAGAAAAUGGCUGUAGCUUAUGGAAUGAAAUCAUUGAAUCAACCAGAACAAUAUUCAGAUCUCAUGUUCGCCAUUUUCAUGCUAUUUCAAUCCUAUUCCUCUUCCCUAUCAUUCUCUCUCUAAUUCUCUAUCCUUCUUUCGAACUUGCCAUAUUUCACCCCGAUUAUGAUUUCACUAGCUAUGCUCAACUUCAAUUUCCUCAACUUUUCGCAAUUUCAAGUUCCGAAACUAUUCUACUUGUACUGUAUGCUCUGUUUUUGACAUUCUUUUUCAUCUGUGGAGUAGGCACUACUACAUAUAGCGCGGUUCAAGUGAUCUAUGAUAGACCGAUCAACGUCUUUUCGUCUAUUAAAUCUAUGAGAAAUUCCUUCUUCCCUCUUCUCACCACCUUCAUUGUUUCGCAAACCAUUUUCAUUUCAAUCACUCUUCUUUUCGCCCUGAUUUUGGUGUUUGUAGUGCGAAUUCUUCAAUCUCUUGAACUAAUUGAGCUCGGAUCAAACUCGGAUCACUUGUUAUUUUUGGUUAUUUUCUGGUUGAUCGUGAUUGUACCGAUUCUGAUUUGGCUACAAGUAAACUGGUGUUUAGCUUAUGUGAUAACAGUAGUUGAAUCGAAAAAGGGUUACGAGACACUAAGGAGAAGUGCGAAGUUAGUAAAGGGGGAGAGAUGGGUAGCUUUGAAGAUUCUUAUGUAUUACGGGACUGUGAUUGUAUGGAUGGUGGUUUGGUGUGCCAUGAUUUUAGCCAGAGGCGAAACGUGGAGGAUACUGCUCACUGCGUGUACUUCGGUGAUGGGAUAUAUACUGAUGAAUCAGUAUCUUGUGGCGAAUGUGGUGCUGUAUAUGCACUGCAAGGAAUUAAACGAUGAGAAAUUGAUGCCGGAAACUGCUGCUGGAGAAUACGUUUCCCUGCCUGUUGAAGAAGAGGAGAAGAAUCAUGAUUUUGUGUAGUUAUUUGGUUUGUUUUUAUAUUAGAAAGAUUAAAGGUAUGGUACUUUGAUAUAGUAAUUGAAUAGAUGUAUGAGUCGAAU